GGCGGCAGGCCUAACACAUGCAAGUCGAGCGGCAGCACGGGUACUUGUACCUGGUGGCGAGCGGCGGACGGGUGAGUAAUGCCUAGGAAUCUGCCUGGUAGUGGGGGAUAACGCUCGGAAACGGACGCUAAUACCGCAUACGUCCUACGGGAGAAAGCAGGGGACCUUCGGGCCUUGCGCUAUCAGAUGAGCCUAGGUCGGAUUAGCUAGUUGGUGAGGUAAUGGCUCACCAAGGCGACGAUCCGUAACUGGUCUGAGAGGAUGAUCAGUCACACUGGAACUGAGACACGGUCCAGACUCCUACGGGAGGCAGCAGUGGGGAAUAUUGGACAAUGGGCGAAAGCCUGAUCCAGCCAUGCCGCGUGUGUGAAGAAGGUCUUCGGAUUGUAAAGCACUUUAAGUUGGGAGGAAGGGCAGUUACCUAAUACGUAAUUGUUUUGACGUUACCGACAGAAUAAGCACCGGCUAACUCUGUGCCAGCAGCCGCGGUAAUACAGAGGGUGCAAGCGUUAAUCGGAAUUACUGGGCGUAAAGCGCGCGUAGGUGGUUCGUUAAGUUGGAUGUGAAAUCCCCGGGCUCAACCUGGGAACUGCAUUCAAAACUGUCGAGCUAGAAUAUGGUA
This 622-nucleotide ribosomal RNA is filed under the name uncultured Gammaproteobacteria bacterium. RNAcentral's name for it is "bacterial SSU rRNA". It matches the Rfam family "Bacterial small subunit ribosomal RNA", at positions 38 to 653 of the family's 1533-position model. Lineage: Bacteria; Pseudomonadati; Pseudomonadota; Gammaproteobacteria. The record is from RNAcentral.